Molecule: small RNA, 90 nt
Filed under: Salmonella enterica subsp. enterica serovar [5],12,[27]:d:-
Lineage: Bacteria; Pseudomonadati; Pseudomonadota; Gammaproteobacteria; Enterobacterales; Enterobacteriaceae
Description: partial RtT sRNA
Rfam family: RtT RNA
About the family: This family represents a bacterial cis-regulatory element known as RtT RNA. The exact function of RtT is unknown although it is thought that it may be involved in changing the cellular response in relation to amino acid starvation.
Source: RNAcentral
UAUCUCUCCGUACGGGGAAGGAUGAGAAGCUUCGACCAAGGUUCGAUUCGAGCGCAGCGAGAAAGCGUUGCCGUAGGCAACGACCCGAAG